Molecule: ribosomal RNA, 402 nt
Filed under: bacterium
Lineage: Bacteria
Description: partial 16S ribosomal RNA
Rfam family: Bacterial small subunit ribosomal RNA
Source: RNAcentral
UGGGGAAAUUUGCACAAUGGGGGAAACCCUGAUGCAGCGACGCCGCGUGAUUUAGAAGGCCUUCGGGUUGUAAAAAUCUUUUCUAUGGGAAGAAAAUGACAGUACCAUAGGAAUAAGGACCGGCUAAUUACGUGCCAGCAGCCGCGGUAAUACGUAAGGUCCGAGCGUUGUCCGGAAUCAUUGGGCGUAAAGGGUACGUAGGCGGGUAAGCAAGUUAGAAGUGAAAUCCUAUAGCUCAACUAUAGUAAGCUUUUAAAACUGCUCAUCUUGAGGUAUGGAAGGGAAAGUGGAAUUCCUAGUGUAGCGGUGAAAUGCGCAGAUAUUAGGAGGAAUACCGGUGGCGAAGGCGACUUUCUGGCCAUAACCUGACGCUGAGGUACGAAAGCGUGGGUAGCAAACAGG